RNAcentral lists this ribosomal RNA (606 nucleotides) under Psychrobacter sp. CS6160. RNAcentral describes it as "bacterial SSU rRNA". It matches the Rfam family "Bacterial small subunit ribosomal RNA", at positions 61 to 659 of the family's 1533-position model. The record is from RNAcentral. Lineage: Bacteria; Pseudomonadati; Pseudomonadota; Gammaproteobacteria; Moraxellales; Moraxellaceae.
GUCGAGCGGUAACAUUUCUAGCUUGCUACAAGAUCGACGAGCGGCGGACGGGUGAGUAACACUUAGGAAUCUACCUAGUAGUGGGGGAUAGCUCGGGGAAACUCGAAUUAAUACCGCAUACGUCCUACGGGAGAAAGGGGGCAACUUGUUGCUCUCGCUAUUAGAUGAGCCUAAGUCGGAUUAGCUAGUUGGUGGGGUAAAGGCCUACCAAGGCGACGAUCUGUAGCUGGUCUGAGAGGAUGAUCAGCCACACCGGGACUGAGACACGGCCCGGACUCCUACGGGAGGCAGCAGUGGGGAAUAUUGGACAAUGGGGGCAACCCUGAUCCAGCCAUGCCGCGUGUGUGAAGAAGGCCUUUUGGUUGUAAAGCACUUUAAGCAGUGAAGAAGACCUAACGGUUAAUACCCGUUAGCGAUGACAUUAGCUGCAGAAUAAGCACCGGCUAACUCUGUGCCAGCAGCCGCGGUAAUACAGAGGGUGCAAGCGUUAAUCGGAAUUACUGGGCGUAAAGCGAGCGUAGGUGGCUUGAUAAGUCAGAUGUGAAAUCCCCGGGCUUAACCUGGGAACUGCAUCUGAUACUGUCAGGCUAGAAUAGGUGAGAGGAA